This 1411-nucleotide ribosomal RNA is filed under the name Escherichia coli. Its description in RNAcentral is "partial 23S ribosomal RNA". It matches the Rfam family "Bacterial large subunit ribosomal RNA", at positions 333 to 1751 of the family's 2925-position model. Lineage: Bacteria; Pseudomonadati; Pseudomonadota; Gammaproteobacteria; Enterobacterales; Enterobacteriaceae. The record is from RNAcentral.
UGGAAGCGUCUGGAAAGGCGCGCGAUACAGGGUGACAGCCCCGUACACAAAAAUGCACAUACUGUGAGCUCGAUGAGUAGGGCGGGACACGUGGUAUCCUGUCUGAAUAUGGGGGGACCAUCCUCCAAGGCUAAAUACUCCUGACUGACCGAUAGUGAACCAGUACCGUGAGGGAAAGGCGAAAAGAACCCCGGCGAGGGGAGUGAAAAAGAACCUGAAACCGUGUACGUACAAGCAGUGGGAGCCUCUUAAUGGGGUGACUGCGUACCUUUUGUAUAAUGGGUCAGCGACUUAUAUUCUGUAGCAAGGUUAACCGAAUAGGGGAGCCGAAGGGAAACCGAGUCUUAACUGGGCGUUAAGUUGCAGGGUAUAGACCCGAAACCCGGUGAUCUAGCCAUGGGCAGGUUGAAGGUUGGGUAACACUAACUGGAGGACCGAACCGACUAAUGUUGAAAAAUUAGCGGAUGACUUGUGGCUGGGGGUGAAAGGCCAAUCAAACCGGGAGAUAGCUGGUUCUCCCCGAAAGCUAUUUAGGUAGCGCCUCGUGAAUUCAUCUCCGGGGGUAGAGCACUGUUUCGGCAAGGGGGUCAUCCCGACUUACCAACCCGAUGCAAACUGCGAAUACCGGAGAAUGUUAUCACGGGAGACACACGGCGGGUGCUAACGUCCGUCGUGAAGAGGGAAACAACCCAGACCGCCAGCUAAGGUCCCAAAGUCAUGGUUAAGUGGGAAACGAUGUGGGAAGGCCCAGACAGCCAGGAUGUUGGCUUAGAAGCAGCCAUCAUUUAAAGAAAGCGUAAUAGCUCACUGGUCGAGUCGGCCUGCGCGGAAGAUGUAACGGGGCUAAACCAUGCACCGAAGCUGCGGCAGCGACACUAUGUGUUGUUGGGUAGGGGAGCGUUCUGUAAGCCUGUGAAGGUGUACUGUGAGGUAUGCUGGAGGUAUCAGAAGUGCGAAUGCUGACAUAAGUAACGAUAAAGCGGGUGAAAAGCCCGCUCGCCGGAAGACCAAGGGUUCCUGUCCAACGUUAAUCGGGGCAGGGUGAGUCGACCCCUAAGGCGAGGCCGAAAGGCGUAGUCGAUGGGAAACAGGUUAAUAUUCCUGUACUUGGUGUUACUGCGAAGGGGGGACGGAGAAGGCUAUGUUGGCCGGGCGACGGUUGUCCCGGUUUAAGCGUGUAGGCUGGUUUUCCAGGCAAAUCCGGAAAAUCAAGGCUGAGGCGUGAUGACGAGGCACUACGGUGCUGAAGCAACAAAUGCCCUGCUUCCAGGAAAAGCCUCUAAGCAUCAGGUAACAUCAAAUCGUACCCCAAACCGACACAGGUGGUCAGGUAGAGAAUACCAAGGCGCUUGAGAGAACUCGGGUGAAGGAACUAGGCAAAAUGGUGCCGUAACUUCGGGAGAAGGCACGC